GGAGCGGACGCAGUGAUUUGCUCCCCUACCCUCGGCACCCCCCACACCCAGCACCAGGAGCCUGUUCCUCCCACAUCCUCACCUGGCUGAGCCGCAGUAGUUCUUCAGUGGCAAGCUUUAUGUCCUGACCCAGCUAAAGCUGCCAGUUGAAGAACUGUUGCCCUCUGCCCCUGGCUUCAAGGAGGAGGAAGAAGAAGAGGAAAAGGAGCUGCUUUUCCCAUUAUCUGGAAGUGUCUCACUCCAGCCUUGACUACAUGGCUGUGCCAUCUUCAACCAUCAUGGGGCAGAGGUGAGGAAGGGCAGCCCAGAACACAGAGGCAGGCAAAAGACCAGUGAAGGACCAGGCCUGGAGAGCACAGGGCUCUCUCUGGGAAUCUAGCAGAGGGGCCCACGAAGGCCAGGAGCACCCCAGGAAGAGGGAGAACAGCCAGUCUUCAUUAAGGACAAGCUUCCAGCCAUCUCCUACUUCACUCACCAUUUCUCUCCAGUGUCCUGCCUCCCUCAGAGAUAUGGGACAAUAGUGAAGUGUCCUGUGGCUUCUACCCUCCUACUUCUACUUCUUCCCCACCCUGUAAUUUUUGCAAGAGCCAGCUGUGAAAGGACAUACACAGGAAAUUCAUAAAAGAAAUUUAGAUGGACAAAACUGAAAAAAAAUGUAUGCUUCACUAGUGAAUAAGGGCAAAUAUAGCUGAAAGUAUUUUUCCCUUAGCAAACUGUAACAAAAACAUAUGACCCGAUAUUGGCAAAAGAGUACUGAAAGAACACUCCCAUACAUUGCAUAUAGGUGUAUAAAUGGGUACAGAACUUCCUGGAUGGCAUUUGACAAUAUGUCAAACAUCCUAAAAGUUUCUAUGUCCUUUGACUUAGUAAUCCUACUUUGGGGAAUUUAUCCUAAGAAAAUAAUUAAGGAUUGAGUUAUAAGAUGUUCACACCAGCAUUUCAAUACAGAAAAAUGGGAAGCAACUGUCUGAUUGGGAAUUCAUUCCUUUUCUGCUGUAAUGAAAAUUUGCAAUAGGGGAUUGCUUAAGUAAAUUAUUGUAUAUCCAUCCAGAUGGUGGAGUACUGUGCAACCAUUAAAAGUCAUGUAGAAGAACAUUUGACUGGAAAGAAAAAUGCUCUUUGAAUAUUAAGAAGGUUAUAAAAAUAGUGUGUAUUAUGUGAUCUCAAUUUUAAAUUUAAAAAUGUUUUUUUUUAAUGUGGUUAUAUACUUGUAUACGUAGAAUGAUAAAAAAAAACUGAAGACAUACUCAAAAAUGUUAAUAGUGGUUAUCUUUGGAUAGUGGAAUAAAGUAAUUGUAAUUUUC
Galeopterus variegatus (Sunda flying lemur) is the source of this 1304-nucleotide long non-coding RNA. RefSeq lists it as uncharacterized. The record is from RefSeq and is a predicted model, not a curated record. The transcript has 3 exons. NCBI's taxonomy places the organism in Eukaryota, Metazoa, Chordata, Mammalia, Dermoptera, Cynocephalidae.